UGUGCUAAGCGGGGAGCUAGCGGUGCCCUGUUAUCCGCAAUCCGCUACAGCGGAGCUGAAUGCUAAUUGAGGCUUUUCGUAUUGAGGGCCGCCGGGGACAAGUGUUGACGAUACCAAGGUCUUGUGCAAGCGUGCACUGUGAACCAUGUCAGGGCUUGACCGCAGCAGCAUUAAGCAGAUCGUAUGUUGUGCCACGAGGUAGCUUUGGAGGAGAUAACUAUCCCUGUACCGCCUCGAUACGCACUGUCGGGAUUAGAUGCA
RNAcentral lists this signal recognition particle RNA (261 nucleotides) under chicken gut metagenome. RNAcentral describes it as "Bacterial large signal recognition particle RNA". It matches the Rfam family "Bacterial large signal recognition particle RNA". From Rfam's summary of the family: The signal recognition particle (SRP) is a universally conserved ribonucleoprotein involved in the co-translational targeting of proteins to membranes. The record is from RNAcentral.